This is a non-coding RNA of Populus trichocarpa (black cottonwood), 84 nucleotides long. The record is from Rfam. Lineage: Eukaryota; Viridiplantae; Streptophyta; Magnoliopsida; Malpighiales; Salicaceae.
CCGACCUUAGCUCAGUUGGUAGAGCGGAGGACUGUAGUGGUUGCUGUAAUCCUUAGGUCGCUGGUUCGAAUCCGGCAGGUCGGA